AUGGUGAGACUGAGGCCUAACUGCAGCAGUAUCCUUGUCUAGUUGAGGUAAAACAGACUCCCCACGCUGAUUAGACUCCUUUUUAAUGGCCAUACCACCUUCACUGCCUCCAUGCACACUUGUAUUGGCCCGGCUUCCUCGUUGACUAGUAGCAGAAAUUGGCUGAGAUUUAGGCUGCCAGUGAGAUGUUGAUCGUUCCACAGCUGAAUGAUUUUCUUUUGAAGCUGAAGAUAAGUCUAUUUGGUGCAUCUCAGCAGCAGCAGAUUGAAUGUAUACUUUAUCAGCAUCCGCACUAGUUCUCUUCUCAUCAGGAUUAUGAUUGUAUCCUGUGCCCUUGUGACCCUU
This 345-nucleotide unclassified non-coding RNA is filed under the name Hevea brasiliensis (rubber tree). The record is from RNAcentral. Lineage: Eukaryota; Viridiplantae; Streptophyta; Magnoliopsida; Malpighiales; Euphorbiaceae.